This 463-nucleotide ribosomal RNA is filed under the name uncultured bacterium. RNAcentral describes it as "partial 16S ribosomal RNA". It matches the Rfam family "Bacterial small subunit ribosomal RNA", at positions 28 to 507 of the family's 1533-position model. The record is from RNAcentral.
GAUGAACGCUGACAGAAUGCUUAACACAUGCAAGUCUUUGGCGAAUCUGUGCUUGCACAGGCUAGCCAAGGCGGACGGGUGAGUAACGCGUAAAGAACUUGCCCUGCAGACAGGGAUAACAGACGGAAACGACUGAUAACACCUGAUACAGUUGCCGGCACGCAUGUGCCUGGCAAUGAAAAGAGAUGCUGCAGGAGAGCUUUGCGUCCUAUUAGCUUGUUGGUGAGGUGACGGCUCACCAAGGCGAUGAUAGGUAGCCGGCCUGAGAGGGUGAACGGCCACAAGGGGACUGAGAUACGGCCCUUACUCCUACGGGAGGCAGCAGUGGGGAAUAGUGGACAAUGGGGGCAACCCUGAUCCAGCAAUUCUGUGUGCACGAAGAAGGUUUUCGGAUUGUAAAGUGCUUUCAGCAGGGAAGAAGAAAGUGACGGUACCUGCAGAAGAAGCGACGGCUAAAUACGUG